RNAcentral lists this long non-coding RNA (471 nucleotides) under Mytilus galloprovincialis (Mediterranean mussel). Lineage: Eukaryota; Metazoa; Mollusca; Bivalvia; Mytilida; Mytilidae. The record is from RNAcentral.
GACCACAUCAAAUAAUGAAACAAACACAACAAGUAGUGUAAAAUCGUCAAAUUUUGAAACAUCAUUACGUAAUGUUAAAACCAUAUAAAGAAUAGACAAAUCAAUAUUACGAAAUAACAAAACCACAUCAUGUAAUGAGAAACAACUACAGUACGUUAAGUCACAUACACAUCAAGUAAUGUUAAAACCACAUUGACUAAUGACACAACCAUAUUAAAUAAUGGUGAAACCACAUCGAGUAAUGACAAAACCAUAUUGAGUAAUGACAAAACUAUAUCAAGUCAAUACGAAACCAUAUCGUGUAAUAUCGAAAUCUCAUUAAGUAAUGACUAUUCCAUAUUGAGUUAUAUUAAAACAUCAUCACGUAAUGUCAAAACCAUAUUAAGUAAAGACAAAAUAUCAUUAAGUAAUAAUAAAACAACAUAAAGUAAUAUCAGAGUUCCACAUAAGACAGCUGUGGCGUUCCAUACA